UUAAGCUGAAGAGUCCCAAACCAGGACGAAACAGUUGUCCAGUAC
RNAcentral lists this non-coding RNA (45 nucleotides) under Trichobilharzia regenti. Lineage: Eukaryota; Metazoa; Platyhelminthes; Trematoda; Strigeidida; Schistosomatidae. The record is from RNAcentral.